UUUGGCAGAUCAGACCACUCAAAAAAUAGCCACUACAUCAGAGGGGCUGCUCCGGUGUUGGUUCCUCCCACUUUAUCAGAACCGGUGUACACAAAGAAGGACCUGCAGUUAGCAUCUCAACUUGGAGCUAAGUCCCUCAACCCAGGAGGUUGAUACCAAUUACCAGACAAGCGAGUGAUGUUACCUGAGGCAUUAGGACGUGAGCUGGUACACCAGGCUCACCAAACCACCAAUUUAGGGGGAACUAAACUUGCUGAAUUGUUCAGAACUUGGUUUUUCAUUCCAAGACUCUCCAAACUGACUGCCUCUUUGGGCUCCAGAUGCCCACCAUGCUUGUUAGUCAACCUGACCAAAAGCUCUCCAUUGCAGACCACCUGGCAUUGAGGAACUGCCCCUGGAGAACACUUGGAAGUAGACUUUAUGGACAUGGUAAAGCCUGGUUUACAGGGACAUCACUCUCUCUUGGUAUUAGUAGACACCUUCACUGGCUGGGUAGAGGCUUUCCCUACUAAGUCCGAGUCAGUCAUAGUGGUAGCCAGAAAGCUACUGCAUGAGAACAUACCUUGAUUUGGCCUUCCCAUUAUCAAUGGGGUCCGAUACUGGCCUGGCUUUCAUAGCCCAAGUCAUCCAAAAGUUAGUCCAAGCAUUAAAGAUUAAUUGGAAACUCCACUGUGCCUACUGGCCACAAAGCUCAGGGUAAGUAGAAUGUAUGAACCAAACUCUCAAGGACACUUUAGCUAAGCUGUCUUUAGAAAUUGGCGAUAAUUGGGUGAGCCUUCUUCCCUUUGCUCUGCUGCGAGCUAGAUGUACCCCAUAUGUUUCUGGAAUUUCCCCCUUUGAGUGUAUAUUCAGAAGGCCCCCUCCACUGGUCCCGAGAUUGUCAGAGGAUAAAUUAGUUGAAAUAACUAACCUAGAUCUCAUUAAGUCCCUGUAGACACUCCAGCCUGUGUUGGCCUUGAUCCACCAGCUGUUUAGACAAAAACACCGGGACCUGCCUUCAGAGCAGCCACUCAAAGUACCCAUCGAGCCGGGAACUUCUGUCCUGGUGUGACGUCACCAUCAAGACUCCCUCGAACCCCUCUGGGAAGGACCCUUCACUGUGGUGCUCAGUACCGCUACUGCCAUCAAGGUAGCAGGAAAAACUGUGUGGAUUCACCAUACUCACAUAAAGCCACUGGAAACAGCGGACAACGAGGGACAUGCUCAGUGGACUAUACAACAGACUGGAAACCCCUUGAAGUUAAAAUUGACUAAACAUAGUUAGAUUAUACCAGUCACGAACUGCUUUAGCUUGCUUGCUUUUGCUCCUUCUGUCCCAUUGCUGGGGAUUUUAAUAACAUUGAUGCUGAUCUUGCAUGGAGGCUUUGGUCCCCCUGUAAGCAAAGAACAGUUGUUAAGAUCUUUGUAUGGGAGCCACUAUGAUUGUGGAGAGGGUUAUAUUAAAGAGAAAGACUCUGGCUGGGGGGGCGGGAUUAUACAUACAAUAGGAAAAAAGGAUCAUGAUCCUUCCCACAUAAAUGAUAAAUUAUAUACAUAUAGUCUUCGGACAGAUUGUGGGGACAAGUUAGCAUUCCUUGUUGCUAUACCCUCAGUUACAGGGGUUUGACUCAAAUGUGGAUGUGUAAGUUAAAGCCCCGCAUGAUGCCUAACAAAGGCAGCCAGCUAGGGCCAUGCCCUCAGAAUUGUUCUUAUUAUUCAAGAAAUGCGUUCCUCCUGCUAUGACUCUGUGCAAGAAUGUAUAAGCAUAGAUAGCAAAACUUACUUCACUACUGAGCUUAUGAGGACACAGGCUAGAAGUGCUGGAGGUGAUUGGUCCACCCAUCCAACAGUAAUAGGAAAUUCAAAGUAUGCUCAAGCCUCAUGUCAUGGCAUGAUUGGUGAAUCAGUUUGCUGGAGCAGGGUGGCCCCAAUACAUGUGUCUGAUGGGGGCGGCCCGCAAGCUAAGAACAGAGAACUCAUGGUUGAGUUACAAGUCAAGCAGGUAAUAAAAAUAAUGUUUACCCAGAUAUAUUACCACCCCCUUGAUGCUGCCUAAAUCACAGGGAGUUGAUCUGGAUGCUCAAACUUCUGAUAUUCUAGAAGCAACUCAUAAAGCCUUAGAUGCUUCCAACCCAACUUUGGCUGAAGAUUGCUGGUUAUGCAUGGUACAGGGCUCCCCCAUGCCCCUUAUGAUCCCCAUCAGUGUUUCUUUGAUCAUGCUAGAGAAACAAGAUUACUUAAAUUGUAGUGCAGGUCCCCCCUUUAGAGUGCAAACAGUAGGAUUCAAGGAUUCUUCCUGUCUCCAAGGAGGUUUUCAUAAUGAUACCUCCAACACUGACAUGGGAUUCAUUGCAUUUACUAAUUGUAGUCCCAUAGUUAAUUGGACUACCCCCUUUAUCCGCCGAAGGACAAGUAUUUAUUUGUGGAGGAAAUAUGGCCUAUACAUUCCUCCCAACUAACUGGACAGGAAAAUGUGUAACAGCUGUACUAUUGCCUGAUACAGAGAUCCUACCCAGGGAUGAGCCUGUCCCCAUUCCUAGUUUAGAUUACUUUACAGGCCACUCAAAGAGGGCAGUUCAACUUAUUCCUUUAUUGGUAGGCCUAGGAAUAUCAGGAGCCUUAGGUAUGGGUCAGCAGGAGUAGGGGUUUCUGUCCAACUUUCCAACCAGAUCGUUAGUGAUGUGCAGGCAUUAUCUAGUACCGUUCAGGUCAUUCAACACCAAAUAGGCUUGUUGGCUGCAGUAGUUCUCCAAAACAGAAAUGGACUAGACUUCCUAAUGGCGAAACAAGGAGGGAUCUGUGCGGCAUUGCAGGCAUGAUGCUGCUUUUAUGUAAAUAAGCCCGGAAUUGUCCGAGAUAAAAUCAAGAGACUACAGAAAGACCUAGUCAAAAAAAGAGGAGAGAGCUAUGUAAAAACACUUUAUGAAGUGUUUAAAAUGAAAUGCUGCCCUAUCUCCUGCCCUUGCUUGCACCGUUGUUAUGAGUACUGCUUUUGGUCACAGUAGGUGCUAGUACACUCAAUAGAAUAACUGCAUAUGUCAGGCAACAAAUGCAAGGCAUAAAGCUAAUUAUGUUACACCAGCAUGCCUUUGUUCCCCCAAAUACCUAAGUAAUUGGCCAAAGAUUUGGCCUCAGUCACAACAUCAGAAGGGAAUGUUGUGGCCUAGUUCUAACCAAUGCGCCUACUUCCUGUUCUGUAUGCGCCAUUUCAAUAGAGAUUAAAAUUCCAUUUCCAGUAAAGACUUAAGUUUUAGCUCCUUGUAAAUACAUCCAACCCUCUUUUGCAAGUUUUGGCAAGGUGUGCUGUUCCUGGAAAAUGUUUAACUACAAGGAGCAUUGAAAUGUACCAAGAAUGUUAUCUAAAAUAGGUCUAUAGCUUUGUGGUUUUUAGCUACCCCUCCCCCUUCUGCCUGUUGGUAAUAAAAUGUGCUGUUCCUUAAGAAACAUUUAACUACAAGGAAAUUAUAGGAAAUGCCAAGAAGUCCAGGUACUAUCAAACUGUGUCAAAGUUCGAAACAUUCCUGUGGUUUUAAAAACCCAACCCUUUAGCUUGUAAGGCAUGCAGUCUUCCAUAUGGGCUCACAGAGGCUGCAUCAUCAGGCCUGGCCUAAAAUAAAGCCUUUGCUCCCUAAAUUUUAAUUGCUUGCUUCCUUGGAUUUUAUUUCAGGGUAUGAGCUAUCACAGUUAAACCCCUUAUUUGAGGGGCUUCGCAUAGUACUUGGCCUUCUUGCUCUUCUGCUUUCCACAGCAUGAGGAUACCUCCUUCCUCCUUUCUGGAGGACGAAGAAAUAAGACGCCAUCUUGGAGGCAGAGGGCAGCCAUUCCCACACAGAAUCUGCCAGAGCAGGGGCCUUGGCGCUCCCAUCCACCAGAAUCCUGAGAAAAUCCACGCCUGACUUUUGGGCAAGGUGGAGCAAAGAGAACUAAAAUCAAUUGAAAAUCACAUUGUCUGCAAAUGGAUAGCUUGGGACUCUGCUGAGAUAGAUGUCUCUCCUUCACAAUGUGGAAGCAAACUGGACUCUUGGCAGAAAUCCUGCAGGCCAAGGCCCUUUGGGGAGCUCUGCUGAAGAGGAGCAGAGGCUGACUGGUUCCCAUGCCCCAGCAGAACAAAGACAGAAGCCACAACAUUCAUUAAGGAAAAGUAUGUAUUAGGAAGUAAUAGAUGCUUCAUCAGGUAAGGCCAUUAGCAAAGAAUCUAUGCUUCCAGAAGACACACUUUAUCUGUAUUCAAAUUGUUAUGGAAAACGGUUUCUUAUAAGUUAUGGUGUGAGAGAGUGUAUCUGAAUGGCUGGAUAAGGCAUCUUGUGAAGACAGCAGGCAGUGUGAUGGCAAAGAUGACCUUUCAUUCCUGGCUUCCACUUAAAGCAACUGAUGGGAGGAGGAGCUAUCUCUUCAGGAACCAGACCUUGUUGCAGGGCUCACUGCUGAUAGGACUGUGGUACUUAGCACUGGCUUGUUGAUCAUCAACUGCCUCUCUCCUCUCUCUCCUUUUUUGUAUAGCCUGGAAGUAAUUCUGUUAUAGCAGGAACUCUUACUCACAGGUUUCUGCCUCUGUAGCUUUGAUGGACGACUUGUAGGGCAGGCCUCUAGCUUGUCCAUGAGCAUCUCUUCCUCAGUUGUCCCGAUUUGGACUGCAUCCUUCUCACCUUCUAUGUAUCUCUGGUUUUUGAUGAUCUCCUCCCAAUGUUCAGUAAUGGAUAGGAUCCUAUUAUUUUGCUUCAACU
Cavia porcellus (domestic guinea pig) is the source of this 4703-nucleotide long non-coding RNA. RefSeq lists it as uncharacterized. The record is from RefSeq and is a predicted model, not a curated record. The transcript is spliced from 3 exons. Lineage: Eukaryota; Metazoa; Chordata; Mammalia; Rodentia; Caviidae.